RNAcentral lists this ribosomal RNA (243 nucleotides) under Enterobacter sp. 50588862. Its description in RNAcentral is "partial 23S ribosomal RNA". It matches the Rfam family "Bacterial large subunit ribosomal RNA", at positions 1 to 236 of the family's 2925-position model. The record is from RNAcentral. Lineage: Bacteria; Pseudomonadati; Pseudomonadota; Gammaproteobacteria; Enterobacterales; Enterobacteriaceae.
GGGUUGUGAGGUUAAGCGACUAAGCGUACACGGUGGAUGCCCUGGCAGUCAGAGGCGAUGAAGGACGUGCUAAUCUGCGAAAAGCGACGGCGAGGUGAUAUGAACCCUUGACCCGUCGAUGUCCGAAUGGGGAAACCCAGUGUGAUCCGUCACACUAUCGUUAACUGAAUACAUAGGUUAACGAGGCGAACCGGGGGAACUGAAACAUCUAAGUACCCCGAGGAAAAGAAAUCAACCGAGAUU